RNAcentral lists this transfer RNA (84 nucleotides) under Peptococcaceae bacterium. RNAcentral's name for it is "tRNA-Tyr". It matches the Rfam family "tRNA". Rfam says of the family: Transfer RNA (tRNA) molecules are approximately 80 nucleotides in length. Their secondary structure includes four short double-helical elements and three loops (D, anti-codon, and T loops). Lineage: Bacteria; Bacillati; Bacillota; Clostridia; Eubacteriales; Peptococcaceae. The record is from RNAcentral. RNAcentral also lists the same sequence under 1 other name.
GGGUAGGUGGCCGAGUGGUUAAAGGCGGCAGACUGUAAAUCUGUUCCGAGAGGUACGGUGGUUCGAAUCCAUCCCUACCCACCA